This 451-nucleotide long non-coding RNA is filed under the name Medicago truncatula (barrel medic). Its description in RNAcentral is "lncRNA gene3018". The record is from RNAcentral. Lineage: Eukaryota; Viridiplantae; Streptophyta; Magnoliopsida; Fabales; Fabaceae.
GUGAGCAAAAAAUACCUCUACUCUCUCUCUCCGGUUCGGUUUGGUUGCUCUCUCCCUUGUUCCGGUUCGUUUUGUUUCUUUUUCCCUCUGGUCCGAUUCGUCUCUGUCUGUUUUGGUUCGGUUCUGAUUUUCUAAACUUUGGUUUUGGAUUGUGUUUGUGGUGCUUGGAUUAUGUGAUGUUUAUGUUGAUUUCUGGAAAAAAAUUAGGAGGAUGAAAGCUCAUGAAUAUUCAUGAAUGUUGUUGGAGAGAGAGAAGGAAAUUGUGUUUGUGACUUGAUUGGAAAAAAUGUGUGGUUGCUGAUUUUUCUGUGAACAGUGAUUUCUCUGACUCAUGAACAGUAAUUUUUUUUCUCUGCCCAUUUCCCAAUGAUUGACAGGCUUUUAUAGUGACAAAUUAGGGUUGGCUCUGGUACCAACAAAUGACCAAAAUGCCCCUGCAGCUGAGACUUGG